This 429-nucleotide long non-coding RNA is filed under the name Fukomys damarensis (Damara mole-rat). RNAcentral describes it as "lncRNA (ENSFDAG00000028028.1)". Lineage: Eukaryota; Metazoa; Chordata; Mammalia; Rodentia; Bathyergidae. The record is from RNAcentral.
CCUUGCUUGAUGUCGGAGCCUAACCUCGGGUUCCGACCUGCGGGUGACGGACGCAGGCGCUGAGUACUUUGCGUUAGGUUUUCCUCGCCUUAAGAUGGCCGCUAAACCUGACACUUGGGUCUGGAGUUUCCCUUCCCCUUCAUGCUGAGAGUGUGGGGAGUGGAUGGGUGCGCUUGAGGCCUCCAGAACCCAAGCAGCGACCGAAGCUGUUGGAGGAACCUGAGAGAGUCUUUCAGAAAAGUGUAAAAGACACACACACAAAAAGGGCUCCAGGGCCAGGCGAGAGCUUUCUGGGCAGAAGUGCGCCGAUUAGGGAGAAGGGGAUGUGAGGAUGGAGAGCAACACUUCUAGACUGGGGUGAGCUGGGUAAGUGGCUAAGGACCCUUGACCUCGCCGCACCCCGGCAUGUGUGACUGCGCCCUGGGCCCC